UCCUGUUGUGGUAUGAUCCGUUUGAUCUAAUUUUUUGCUAAGGGGUUAAAUUUUGCUAUGAAAGAAGGCUCCCAGAGACUUACUUACCUACAUCAUUUGAUGAUUUGCUGUCCAUUUUUUUUGUAGUUAAAAGUUUUGCAUUCAUGUUUUGUUCUGAUUUGUUGGAAUUGGAAGGCAUUCUCCACAAACCCCCUUUGUGUGAUGACUUGAACGGUAUUAUUGAUAUUAGCUCUUAAUAUCUUUGGAAUAGUGUGCUUUAGCCUUUACCUUCUCAUAGCUGUUAUCUAGUUUGCUUUUUAUUUUCUUUCUUUUAUUGGAUCAAGUUACUCAGCUACUGGGUUUUGGUCCUCUUGUUCUUAUGUUCCAUUCUUGUUGAGGUCUCUGUUUUCUAUUUAACCUAAGUAUCUCACUAGGUUGUUUUGAGAUAUGCAACGAGGUGGAAAUUUGUGAUUGGGGUCAAUUAGAUGGUCUUCAGCUGAUGACCUCUUUUUUCCUCUUCUUUAUUUUGAGAAUGAUUAAUCAAUAAUCUUAUUUUGUUCAUGCACCCAAUUCGCUUUUUGAUGCUUCACGAUAUGAGGUUUUUUUUGUCAAAAUGUCUUGGAAGAAGUGGGGAUGGAUGAAGAUAUCCCUUUAAUUGUUUGUUAGGGAAGAGGUAGGUUUCAGUUCACUGCUAUGCUAUGUUACUUUAAUUAUUGCAUUAUAAAACUUAAUUCCCAGACAACGGAAAUGAAAAAGUUUUAACUCUUUUCUUUAUCCUUCGAGUUGUGCUUACAUGUGUUUGCUUUGAAAAAAUUUUGGAUGUGGUUUUCUGUUAGCGGGUCACACAUCUUUUAGUGAUAUAUUUAAGGAGUUCUUUCUCCGUCGGUCGCUUUCAAGAAGAGGGAUUUUGUAAAGACCCUAGAUAGGAAAAUAGUGGAUUACUGGUAGAAAAUGUAGAAAAUAAAAAUAGUAGUUAACAAACAUAUUAGUAAAUAGUUAGUAAGUUGGUUACAUCUUUUUGUUAUAUAUAGUAUGGGAGAGGGGUUGAAAAGAGGUGUGAAGAAUUUUGAAGAAAUAUUUCCUUGUAAGGGAACCUUGAGAAAGUCCAGCCCUCUCAAAAGGCUAGGAUUACUUGUUCUUAUGAUCUUCUAGUAUAUAUUUCAUAUUUGAAUGUUCUGUUAAGAGUUAUUGAGUUCAUCUUAUUUUAUUGAGAUAAUUCUGGUUAGGUGAGAUCCUAACAAAUUAGUAUCAGAGCUGUAACAUUUUGUGGAUGACACAGGUUAUGUGUAGAAACAAAACAGAGGAGAGGUUGGAAAAGAAUGAAGACAUUAGGGAGCUUAAAUAUUUAGAGUUGUCCAAAAGAGUUGAAAGGAUGGCAGAGGAAUUACGAGAAAAUAGUGUUCAUCAUCUACGAAAAGAAUCUAGUAUGUCGAAGAAAGUUGAAAGGAUGGCAGAGGAAUUACGAGAAAAUAGUGUUCAUCAUCUACGAAAAGAAACUAGUAUGUCGAAGAAAUUUGUGUUGAAAAGUAAAGGAAGGAUGGAAGAAAGCACGGGCACGAUUGAGAAAGGGACUUGGGAGUAAACACCUAAAUGCGCUGUGGUUGAAAGAGGAGAGACUCUAUGAAUAUGGGAGUAGAUGCAGAAAUGGAUUGUAGAUUGCAAAGAGAAGAAUACAUAGGCAUGCUAUAUCAAUGCAUCAAAAGCUUUCUAAAGGGCUGCAAAGUGAUAAAGAAAGAGAGGGGAAGAAACUAGCAAAAAUCAAAGUUAGAGAAAAAGAGAAAUGGAAAAAUGACUUGAAGAUGAAGGAAUCAAAAAAACGAGCAUGAAAAAAAUGGAGGAAAGAGGAAGCCAAAUCUAAUUGUACAUUCUUAUGACCAACGAUGAAAGGUGAAGUGGUCGGAGACAAAUACUGAGUGGAAAUGGAAACACUAAACAUAGGAGGCAGAAGCAUGGGAGAAGAGACGGUUACUAUUGACGAGAAGGGAAAGUGUAUGAAAAAUGAAUGAUUGAGAGAGUUAUCCCUGACCCUACAAGAAAAUGAAAAUCUC
This 2027-nucleotide long non-coding RNA is filed under the name Cucumis sativus (cucumber). RNAcentral's name for it is "long non-coding RNA (CSAT_LNC001422)". The record is from RNAcentral. Lineage: Eukaryota; Viridiplantae; Streptophyta; Magnoliopsida; Cucurbitales; Cucurbitaceae.